RNAcentral lists this ribosomal RNA (441 nucleotides) under Hansenula anomala. RNAcentral's name for it is "Wickerhamomyces anomalus partial 26S ribosomal RNA". It matches the Rfam family "Eukaryotic large subunit ribosomal RNA", at positions 151 to 600 of the family's 3401-position model. The record is from RNAcentral. Lineage: Eukaryota; Fungi; Ascomycota; Saccharomycetes; Phaffomycetales; Wickerhamomycetaceae.
AAGGUAACCUUGGGUUUGGUCCUUGUCUAUGUUCCUUGGAACAGGACGUCAUAGAGGGUGAGAAUCCCGUCUGGUGAGAUGCCCAUUCCUAUGUAAGGUGCUAUCGAAGAGUCGAGUUGUUUGGGAAUGCAGCUCUAAGUGGGUGGUAAAUUCCAUCUAAAGCUAAAUAUUGGCGAGAGACCGAUAGCGAACAAGUACAGUGAUGGAAAGAUGAAAAGAACUUUGAAAAGAGAGUGAAAAAGUACGUGAAAUUGUUGAAAGGGAAGGGCAUUAGAUCAGACUUGGUGUUUUACGAUUAUCUUCUCUUCUUGAGUUGUGCACUCGUAUUUCACUGGGCCCUCAUCAAUGCGGAUGGCAAGAUAAUGGCUGUUGAAUGUGGCUUCACUUCGGUGGAGUGUUAUAGCUUCUGCUGAUAUUGCCUGUCGGGAUCGAGGGCUGCGU